Molecule: long non-coding RNA, 412 nt
Filed under: Vulpes vulpes (red fox)
Lineage: Eukaryota; Metazoa; Chordata; Mammalia; Carnivora; Canidae
Description: lncRNA (ENSVVUG00000005281.1)
Source: RNAcentral
AUGGCAUCUGAUGAAGCAUUGAUGUCAAUAUGUGAGGGCCUGCCCUAUGAAGCUACCCCACCGGCCCGCCCAGGCCGAAGCCCUUUCACCGACCCGGGAACACCUGCCCUCGGAAUCCUGGGGAACCUCCAGGGCUUCUCACGCGGCCGAGAAGAAAGUGAGGACCCCUCCCUCCCCCAGGAAGCCCACUCAGUGAUCCGAACAAACAACAAACCACAACAAGCCCAGAGCUGCCUGAGCUGCUCCAAGCGGGGCGCAACCCCCCUCGCCCCCCACCCCCCAGCCCCAGCUCCGAGUUACACUUUGCAGACACCCAGCCCGGCCCAGUUCCCCAGCCCGGCCCUGGCCCCCCGGGGCCCCUCCGGUCCCCAGGGCCGACCUAACUGGGCAGCUCCUCCAUCCCGGGGGGGGG